Molecule: unclassified non-coding RNA, 306 nt
Filed under: plant metagenome
Description: partial contains 5.8S ribosomal RNA, internal transcribed spacer 2, and large subunit ribosomal RNA
Rfam family: 5.8S ribosomal RNA (bases 1-105)
Source: RNAcentral
GAAAUGCGAUAAGUAAUGUGAAUUGCAGAAUUCAGUGAAUCAUCGAAUCUUUGAACGCACAUUGCGCCCGCCAGUAUUCUGGCGGGCAUGCCUGUCCGAGCGUCAUUUCAACCAUCAAGCCCCCGGGCUUGUGUUGGGGACCUGCGGCUGCCCGCAGGCCCUGAAAACCAGUGGCGGGCUCGCUGUCACACCGAGCGUAGUAGCAAUCACCUCGCUCAGGGCGUGCUGCGGGUUCCGGCCGUUAAACAGCCUUACAAAACCCAAGGUUGACCUCGGAUCAGGUAGGAAGACCCGCUGAAGAUAAGC